This is a long non-coding RNA of Leptidea sinapis, 727 nucleotides long. RefSeq lists it as uncharacterized. The record is from RefSeq and is a predicted model, not a curated record. The transcript is spliced from 3 exons. Lineage: Eukaryota; Metazoa; Arthropoda; Insecta; Lepidoptera; Pieridae.
AAUGUCAUCGAAAAAGAAUAAAAUCUCGGUUAUGUAUUAUGGUAAAAUUGUUAUCGCUACAUCUAAGUUAAGUCGGGGGUUUUGAGUUAUUUUAUUCUUUUUCGAUGAGAUUUUUACCGUCGUGGGUAAAAAUAGACUCGAUCAGCUGAUUGGAUUUGUAUGGAAAAACGUAAUAUUUUUUUGAGAUUUCGACAUUGAUUCCAUAAAGAAACUAGUUAUGAAUGAGACACCGACUGACUUCCUAAAAUUUUGCUAUGGGAGAGAGUAUGAAUCAACAGCUUGCCGAGCUUCUUGCAGAACCAUCUGGGGAGUUCGAUAAUUUCGUUCGAAUGUCAUGCACUGAUUUUGAAUACCUGCUACAAAAAAUUUCUCCGAUGGUUUCUAAGCAAGAUACUACUUGGAGGAAAGCUGUACCAACAAAAAUACGACUUGCAUUGACAUUGAGAUUUUUAGCUACUGGAGAUGACUACAGAAGCUUACACUACCUAUUUAAAAUAUCAAGUUCACUUAUCUCACGCAUAAGAAUCGAAUGUUUGGCACUCAAUGAUGUUUUGCAAGAUAUGAUUAAAAAGCGAGUCGAUAUACAAAUACAAGAAAUUGCCUACAAAAAAAAACAGGCUUUAUAAUUGUAUCCUCUGGAAGAGCCUUCAGUUCGCAAUAAGUAAAAUCAAUUAGAAAUAAUUCAGCCGCUAUUGACAAGUUGUAAGUUAAACCACACAACUUUUAC